RNAcentral lists this ribosomal RNA (1074 nucleotides) under Cerataphis bambusifoliae. RNAcentral's name for it is "partial large subunit rRNA". Lineage: Eukaryota; Metazoa; Arthropoda; Insecta; Hemiptera; Hormaphididae. The record is from RNAcentral.
AUUAUUUAAAAUAAUAUUUAAUUGAAUUUGUAAAUAAUUUUUUUAUAAAAAUAUUUUAUUUUUAAUUUGUUUUAGUAUUUAGUAAAAAUAAAUUUUUAGAUUUAUAGUUAAUAAGUAUUGUAAAAGAAAUUUAAUAAAUAAUUAAAAGAUUUAAUUUAAGUCCCUUUUGUAUCAGGGUUAAUUAAAAUUUUUAAUUUAUUUUAAUUUCUCAAAAUUUAUAGAGUUAAUUUUAUUAUUAAUUUAUUAUUUUAUCAAUAUUUAAAAAAUAAUUUUAGUUUUGAAAUUUAAUUUCGUUAUAAUAUAUUUAGUUAUUUAAGAUUUAAAUUUAAUUUAUAAUUUUAAAAGUUAUAUUAAUUUUUUUGAUAUUAAUAUUUUAAAUUUAAAUUAUUUUAGGGAUAAGCUUGAAAUUUUUAUAUAAUUUAUGUAUAAAAGAUUAAAUAUUUUAUAGAAAUAGAAAUUUUUAUUUUAAAGUUUGUAAAAAUUUAUUAUUUAAUUUUAUUUAAUUUAUUAUAAUUUAUUUAUUUUUAAUAUUAAAUUUUAUAAUAAAAUAUUUUUUUUAUAGUAAUAAUGAUUAAAUUAGUAUAAUAUUAAUUUAUUAAUUAUGAAUUUGGCAAAAUUUAUUUUCAUCUGUUUAACAAAAACAUUGUAUUAAUUUUUAUUUAAUAUAGGAUCUGCUCAAUGAAUUAAUUUUAAAUAGCUGCAGUAUAAUGACUGUGCAAAGGUAGCAUAAUAAUUAGUUUUUUAAUUGAAAACUUGAAUGAAAGAUUUGAUGAAAAAUAAACUUUAUUAUUAAUAUAUUUAUAAUUUUAUUUUUAAGUAAAAAAGCUUAAAUAAUUUAAAGGGACGAUAAGACCCUAUAAAACUUUAUAAUUUUUAGAUUUAUUUUUUUUUUUGUUUAAAUAAAUUAAUUAAUUUUAAUAAUUAUUUUAUUGGGGUGAUAAAAAAAAUUUUUUAACUUUUUUUAAAUUAAACAUUAUUAAAUGAUUAUUUGAAUUAAAAAUUUUAAUUAAAGGAAAAAGUUACUUUAGGGAUAACAGCGUAAUUAAUUUUUUAAGUUCAAAUUUUAAAAUUAGU